AAGAACGCAGCGAAAUGCGAUAAGUAAUGUGAAUUGCAGAAUUCAGUGAAUCAUCGAAUCUUUGAACGCAUCUUGCGCUCCUUGGUAUUCCGAGGAGCAUGCCUGUUUGAGUGUCAUUUUAACUUCUCAACCAUAUCGAAUUGUUUUUCGAGGUGGCUUGGACAUGGGGGUUUUUGCAGGCUUCAAUAAUGAAGUCGGCUCCUCUGAAACGCAUUAGUGGUAUCUGAAGCAGAACUGCUACUAUUAGGUGUGAUAAUUAUCUAUGCCUCUUGGUAUACUGCAUGAACAGAUUGCGCUGCUUCCAACUUGUACACCCUUUGGUGUUUGACAAAUUUGACCUCAAAUCAGGUAGGACUACCCGCUGAACUUAAGCAUAUCAAUAAGCGGAGGAAAAGAAACU
RNAcentral lists this ribosomal RNA (400 nucleotides) under uncultured fungus. RNAcentral describes it as "eukaryotic LSU rRNA". The stretch from base 1 to 116 matches the Rfam family "5.8S ribosomal RNA", at positions 39 to 154 of the family's 154-position model. The record is from RNAcentral. Lineage: Eukaryota; Fungi.